Molecule: ribosomal RNA, 406 nt
Filed under: uncultured bacterium
Lineage: Bacteria
Description: bacterial SSU rRNA
Rfam family: Bacterial small subunit ribosomal RNA
Source: RNAcentral
GGGGAAUAUUGCACAAUGGGCGCAAGCCUGAUGCAGCGACGCCGCGUGAGGGAUGACGGCCUUCGGGUUGUAAACCUCUUUCAGCAGGGACGAAGCGAAAGUGACGGUACCUGCAGAAGAAGCACCGGCUGACUACGUGCCAGCAGCCGCGGUAAUACGUAGGGUGCGAGCAUUGUCCGGAUUCAUUGGGCGUAAAGAGCUCGUAGGCGGCCUGCCACGUCGGAUGUGAAAACUCGGGGCUUAACCCCGAGCCUGCAUUCGAUACGGGCAGGCUAGAGUGUUGCAGGGGAGACUGGAACUCCUGGUGUAGCGGUGAAAUGCGCAGAUAUCAGGAAGAACACCGGUGGCGAAGGCGGAUCUCUGGGCAACUACUGACGCUGAGGAGCGAAAGCGUGGGGAGCAAACA